UGCAAGUCGAGCGGAUGACGGGAGCUUGCUCCUUGAUUCAGCGGCGGACGGGUGAGUAAUGCCUAGGAAUCUGCCUGGUAGUGGGGGACAACGUUUCGAAAGGAACGCUAAUACCGCAUACGUCCUACGGGAGAAAGCAGGGGACCUUCGGGCCUUGCGCUAUCAGAUGAGCCUAGGUCGGAUUAGCUAGUUGGUGAGGUAAUGGCUCACCAAGGCGACGAUCCGUAACUGGUCUGAGAGGAUGAUCAGUCACACUGGAACUGAGACACGGUCCAGACUCCUACGGGAGGCAGCAGUGGGGAAUAUUGGACAAUGGGCGAAAGCCUGAUCCAGCCAUGCCGCGUGUGUGAAGAAGGUCUUCGGAUUGUAAAG
Molecule: ribosomal RNA, 372 nt
Filed under: Pseudomonas putida
Lineage: Bacteria; Pseudomonadati; Pseudomonadota; Gammaproteobacteria; Pseudomonadales; Pseudomonadaceae
Description: bacterial SSU rRNA
Rfam family: Bacterial small subunit ribosomal RNA
Source: RNAcentral